GGGCGAUUAGCUCAGCUGGUAGAGCAUCUCGUUUACACCGAGGGGGUCGGCAGUUCGACUCUGUCAUCGCCCACCA
This 76-nucleotide transfer RNA is filed under the name Candidatus Aquarickettsia rohweri. RNAcentral describes it as "tRNA-Val". It matches the Rfam family "tRNA". Rfam says of the family: Transfer RNA (tRNA) molecules are approximately 80 nucleotides in length. Their secondary structure includes four short double-helical elements and three loops (D, anti-codon, and T loops). Further hydrogen bonds mediate the characteristic L-shaped molecular structure. tRNAs have two regions of fundamental functional importance: the anti-codon, which is responsible for specific mRNA codon recognition, and the 3' end, to which the tRNAs corresponding amino acid is attached (by aminoacyl-tRNA synthetases). tRNAs cope with the degeneracy of the genetic code in two manners: having more than one tRNA (with a specific anti-codon) for a particular amino acid; and 'wobble' base-pairing, i.e. permitting non-standard base-pairing at the 3rd anti-codon position. Lineage: Bacteria; Pseudomonadati; Pseudomonadota; Alphaproteobacteria; Rickettsiales; Candidatus Midichloriaceae. The record is from RNAcentral.